Molecule: transfer RNA, 86 nt
Filed under: Opitutia bacterium
Lineage: Bacteria; Pseudomonadati; Verrucomicrobiota; Opitutia
Description: tRNA-Leu
Rfam family: tRNA
About the family: Transfer RNA (tRNA) molecules are approximately 80 nucleotides in length.
Source: RNAcentral
GCCUGGAUGGCGGAAUUGGCAGACGCGCCGGACUCAAAAUCCGGUUCCCUUUGGGAGUGAGGGUUCGACUCCCUCUCCAGGCACCA